GACGAACGCUGGCGGCGUGCUUAACACAUGCAAGUCGAACGGAAAGGCCCUGCUUUUGUGGGGUGCUCGAGUGGCGAACGGGUGAGUAACACGUGAGUAACCUGCCCUUGACUUUGGGAUAACUUCAGGAAACUGGGGCUAAUACCGGAUAGGAGCUCCUGCUGCAUGGUGGGGGUUGGAAAGUUUCGGCGGUUGGGGAUGGACUCGCGGCUUAUCAGCUUGUUGGUGGGGUAGUGGCUUACCAAGGCUUUGACGGGUAGCCGGCCUGAGAGGGUGACCGGCCACAUUGGGACUGCGAUACGGACCAGACUCCUACGGGAGGCAGCAGUGGGGAAUAUUGCACAAUGGGCGGAAGCCUGAUGUAGCAACGCCGCGUGCGGGAUGACGGCCUUCGGGUUGUAAACCGCUUUCGCCUGUGACGAAGCGUGAGUGACGGUAAUGGGUAAAGAAGCACCGGCUAACUACGUG
RNAcentral lists this ribosomal RNA (468 nucleotides) under uncultured bacterium. Its description in RNAcentral is "partial 16S ribosomal RNA". It matches the Rfam family "Bacterial small subunit ribosomal RNA", at positions 28 to 507 of the family's 1533-position model. The record is from RNAcentral.